Long non-coding RNA from Leptopilina boulardi, 972 nucleotides. RefSeq lists it as uncharacterized. The transcript is spliced from 4 exons. The record is from RefSeq and is a predicted model, not a curated record. Lineage: Eukaryota; Metazoa; Arthropoda; Insecta; Hymenoptera; Figitidae.
AUGUAAACGACAAUAAUAUUGUUAUUUUCAUAGCUUGUGGACAUUAUUUUACAAAAUGAAGUGAUUUUAAUAGUAAUUUUAAAUUAGAAUAAUAUAUUGUAAGUGCAAUAUUCUUAAAGUUAUGAGUGUCAAACGAAAUAUCGAUGUGUAAAGUCCAUAAAUAUGGAAAAGCCGGCUUCAUUGUACAGUGUGUCUCAAUUUGUGACAAUCUAAUUGUAUACUUUUUUGAAAAAACAGUGUCAAUUAGAAUAUUAACCAAGCAAAUAUGGAAAAGCCGGUUUCAUUCCUACAAUGACCUGUGCACGAUCGAGUUGUAUCUCCUGCAUCUACCACAAAAAUAGGCAAUUGGUCCACGAGAGAAAUGAUUCAUUUGUUUAAAGAGAGGAUAUUAUAUGCUGCCAUCGUAUCUUUAAAUCAUCAAGAAGAAAUAAAUAGUGUUUAACAAACUGGAAGGACAGGAAGGAUGUGGACGAAGAAAAGUGGCCCCAGUAUGUUGCCAUUUUUUUCCAAAUGUAGUUUAUUUUUUUUUAUAUUUUAUUUUUUGCAUGGCACAUAGCUCCCGACCUGUGCAGAAGUGCACGAAACAAACAGGGAUCUCGGGGGUGGUCCAAGAAGAAGCCAAGCUAGGGGCAAUGUUGUCAUUGCUUCAACGUGGGAUCGCCGAUCGUUGAGUCGUUUUUUAAUUUAACCCCUUCCCUGUUUAACACAAUUUUAGAAUCAUUUUCGUUUAUUUAAAUUCAGUUGCAAUAAAUUCAUAAAUUAAAAAUAAAUCUGCUUGGAUAUUAAUUUAAGAAUUUAAUUUUUUUAAUUAUAUUAUUAAAAAUGUUUAAAAACAGGGAAGGAAUUCUGGCAACAUAGUGACAGCAUUGACAAAAAUUUAUUAUUUUGUAGUAUUUUUUUAAGAGUUAUCUAAAAAGCAUGUAAUAUUUUUGAAAAUUUUUCCCUCUCCCAAUUGUUGUAUUCCCUUCACUC